RNAcentral lists this small RNA (29 nucleotides) under Bombyx mori (domestic silkworm). Its description in RNAcentral is "piRNA piR-bmo-1706442". Lineage: Eukaryota; Metazoa; Arthropoda; Insecta; Lepidoptera; Bombycidae. The record is from RNAcentral.
UGAUCAAUGUUGUCCUCAGAUUUUGGAGC